CUUCACCGAGCCGAGGAGCAGCGGACGGUCGCGGUCGCGGCCGUAGGUGGCCAGCAGCGCCUGGGCCUC
Molecule: non-coding RNA, 69 nt
Filed under: Streptomyces sp. NRRL B-1568
Lineage: Bacteria; Bacillati; Actinomycetota; Actinomycetes; Kitasatosporales; Streptomycetaceae
Source: RNAcentral